CAAUCUAGAGUNUCGGAGAGGAAAGUGGAAUUCCUAGUGUAGCGGUGAAGUGCGUAGAUAUUAGGAAGAACACCAGUGGCGAAGGCGACUUUCUGGACGAAAACUGACGCUGAGGCGCGAAAGCCAGGGGAGCGAACGGGAUUAGAUACCCCGGUGGUCCUGGCCGUAAACGAUGGGUACUAGGUGUAGGAGGUAUCGACCCCUUCUGUGCCGGAGUUAACGCAAUAAGUACCCCGCCUGGGGAGUACGACCGCAAGGUUGAAACUCAAAGGAAUUGACGGGGGCCCGCACAAGCGGUGGAGUAUGUGGUUUAAUUCGACGCAACGCGAAGAACCUUACCAGGUCUUGACAUUGAUGGACAGAACCAGAGAUGGUUCCUCUUCUUCGGAAGCCAGAAAACAGGUGGUGCACGGUUGUCGUCAGCUCGUGUCGUGAGAUGUUGGGUUAAGUCCCGCAACGAGCGCAACCCCUAUCUUAUGUUGCCAGCACUUCGGGUGGGGACUCAUGAGAGACUGCCGCAGACAAUGCGGAGGAAGGCGGGGAUGACGUCAAAUCAUCAUGCCCCUUAUGACCUGGGCUACACACGUACUACAAUGGGAGUUAAUAGACGGAAGCGAGAUCGCGAGAUGGAGCAAACCCGAGAAACACUCUCUCAGUUCGGAUCGUAGGCUGCAACUCGCCUACGUGAAGUCGGAAUCGCUAGUAAUCGCAGGUCAGCAUACUGCGGUGAAUACGUUCCCGGGCCUUGUACACACCGCCCGUCACACCUCGAAAGUCGGAAGUGCCCAAAGCCGGUGGGGUAACCUU
Molecule: ribosomal RNA, 807 nt
Filed under: uncultured bacterium
Lineage: Bacteria
Description: bacterial SSU rRNA
Rfam family: Bacterial small subunit ribosomal RNA
Source: RNAcentral